GAAAUGCGAUACUUGGUGUGAAUUGCAGAAUCCCGUGAACCAUCGAAUCUUUGAACGCACAUUGCGCCCUUUGGUAUUCCUUAGGGCAUGCCUGUUCGAGCGUCAUUUACAAAUUCAAGCUCAGCUUGGUGAUGGGUGUCUGUUCCGCCUUUGCGCGUGGACUCGCCUCAAAUGCAGUUGGCAGCUUGUUCCUCGGCUCUAAACGCAGCAGAUUUGCGUCGAGCGUCGAGCGGACGGGCUCUCCAGUAAGCAAACCCCACAAAUUGACCUCAGGUCAGGUAGGACUACCCGCUGAACUUAA
This 301-nucleotide unclassified non-coding RNA is filed under the name uncultured Lophiostomataceae. RNAcentral's name for it is "sequence contains ITS1". The stretch from base 1 to 105 matches the Rfam family "5.8S ribosomal RNA", at positions 50 to 154 of the family's 154-position model. Lineage: Eukaryota; Fungi; Ascomycota; Dothideomycetes; Pleosporales; Lophiostomataceae. The record is from RNAcentral.